AUUUGUACCGACUCUUGGCUAGGU
This 24-nucleotide microRNA is filed under the name Ixodes ricinus (castor bean tick). RNAcentral describes it as "iri-miR-3931-5p". Lineage: Eukaryota; Metazoa; Arthropoda; Arachnida; Ixodida; Ixodidae. The record is from RNAcentral.